Molecule: ribosomal RNA, 432 nt
Filed under: Campylobacter jejuni
Lineage: Bacteria; Pseudomonadati; Campylobacterota; Epsilonproteobacteria; Campylobacterales; Campylobacteraceae
Description: bacterial SSU rRNA
Rfam family: Bacterial small subunit ribosomal RNA
Source: RNAcentral
UUUUAUGGAGAGUUUGAUCCUGGCUCAGAGUGAACGCUGGCGGCGUGCCUAAUACAUGCAAGUCGAACGAUGAAGCUUCUAGCUUGCUAGAAGUGGAUUAGUGGCGCACGGGUGAGUAAGGUAUAGUUAAUCUGCCCUACACAAGAGGACAACAGUUGGAAACGACUGCUAAUACUCUAUACUCCUGCUUAACACAAGUUGAGUAGGGAAAGUUUUUCGGUGUAGGAUGAGACUAUAUAGUAUCAGCUAGUUGGUAAGGUAAUGGCUUACCAAGGCUAUGACGCUUAACUGGUCUGAGAGGAUGAUCAGUCACACUGGAACUGAGACACGGUCCAGACUCCUACGGGAGGCAGCAGUAGGGAAUAUUGCGCAAUGGGGGAAACCCUGACGCAGCAACGCCGCGUGGAGGAUGACACUUUUCGGAGCGUAAAC